AUCCAAUCAGGACGAAAGGCUUAUUAAGAUCUGCCGCCGGUUGUGAUUUCAGUGUUGCCAUCGUUUGUCGGUUCUUGAAAUGCAUCUAUCUUCUAUCUAGCACAAGUGAUGGGUAUGUUUAGGAGAUUAGCUGGGCUUCUAGGGUUUUCAAAGGAUGAAGGUCACGAAGUGAGAGAUGAAAGUGUAGGACCUCACAAUAAUCUUCCUCGUAAAGGAUUCAGUGUCCCUGUUCAGGUUCCUGUUUCCAGAGAUCUACCUGGUCCUAUCCUUGUUCAAUGCAAUAGAGGUGCUGGAGGCGUUCAGGGAUUGAGAUGGUAUGCCAAGCGUCUUAGAAUAGAUGAAGACGGAGAUGUGGCAGACGAG
Molecule: unclassified non-coding RNA, 363 nt
Filed under: Hevea brasiliensis (rubber tree)
Lineage: Eukaryota; Viridiplantae; Streptophyta; Magnoliopsida; Malpighiales; Euphorbiaceae
Source: RNAcentral